Molecule: ribosomal RNA, 1016 nt
Filed under: Ulva pseudorotundata
Lineage: Eukaryota; Viridiplantae; Chlorophyta; Ulvophyceae; Ulvales; Ulvaceae
Description: large subunit ribosomal RNA
Rfam family: Bacterial large subunit ribosomal RNA
Source: RNAcentral
GAAAAAGCUGACGACUGAAGCCCCGGUGAACGGCGGCUGUAACUCUGACAGUCCUAAGGUAGCGAAAUUCCUUGUCGAGUAAGUUUCGACCCGCACGAAAGACGUAACGAUCUGGGCACUGUCUCGGAGAGAGACUCGGUGAAAUAGAAAUGUCUGUGAAGAUGCGGACUACUUAUACCAGGACAGAAAGACCCUAUGAAGCUUGACUGUAAUUUGGAAUUGGGUUCGGGCUUUUUUUGCGCAGUCUAGGUGGGAGGCGUUGAUAUUAAGUUUUCGGACUUAAUGAAGCCAUCAGUGAGAGACCACUCUAAAAGAGCUAGAAUUCUAAUAGGACUCCUUGAAUCAGGAUCCUUGACAGUUUCAGAUGGACAGUUUGACUGGGGCGGUGACCUCCCAAAAGGUAACGGAGGUGUGCAAAGGUUCCCUCAAGCUGGACGGAAAUCAGCUGUAGAGUGCAAAGGUAUAAGGGAGCUUGACUGCAAGACCAACAAGUCGAGCAGAGGCGAAAGCCGGCCUUAGUGAUCCGACGGUUCCGAGUGGAAGGGCCGUCGCUCAACGGAUAAAAGUUACUCUAGGGAUAACAGGCUGAUCUCCCCCAAGAGUUCACAUCGACGGGGAGGUUUGGCACCUCGAUGUCGUUUCAUCGCAACCUGGGGCUGGAGUAGGUCCCAAGGGUUGGGCUGUUCGCCCAUAAAAGCGGUACGUGAGAUGGGUUCAGAACGUCGCGAGACAGUUCGGUCCAUAUCCGGUAUAAGCGUAAGAGCAUUGAGAGGAUCUCAACAUUGUACGAGAGGACCCGAAGGGACGUACCGAUGGUGUACCAGUUCUUAUGCCAAUAGGAAACGCUGGGUAGCUAUGUACGGAGUGGAUAAUCGCUGAAAGCAUUUAAGUGAGAAGCCCACCUCAAGAUGAAUGCUCUCUAUUAGAUCGCGGCAAGACAAGCCGAUAGAUUGGCAUCAAGUGUAAGAUUAGUAAUAAUUUCAGCUGAGAUGUACAAAGGAUCGAUUGAUUUUGAC